This 71-nucleotide transfer RNA is filed under the name Marchantia polymorpha subsp. ruderalis. It matches the Rfam family "tRNA". Rfam says of the family: Transfer RNA (tRNA) molecules are approximately 80 nucleotides in length. Their secondary structure includes four short double-helical elements and three loops (D, anti-codon, and T loops). Lineage: Eukaryota; Viridiplantae; Streptophyta; Marchantiopsida; Marchantiales; Marchantiaceae. The record is from Rfam by way of RNAcentral.
UAGGAUGUAGUCUAACGGAAAGACCCCAUGUUUUGGCUAUGGAAAUGGUAGUUCGAUUCUACCCGUCCUAU